RNAcentral lists this ribosomal RNA (1443 nucleotides) under uncultured organism. RNAcentral describes it as "16S ribosomal RNA". It matches the Rfam family "Bacterial small subunit ribosomal RNA". The record is from RNAcentral.
ACGAACGCUGGCGGCGUGCUUAACACAUGCAAGUCGAACGGAAAGGCCCUGCUUUUGUGGGGUGCUCGAGUGGCGAACGGGUGAGUAACACGUGAGUAACCUGCCCUUGACUUUGGGAUAACUUCGGGAAACUGGGGCUAAUACCGGAUAGGAGCUCCUGCUGCAUGGUGGGGGUUGGAAAGUUUCGGCGGUUGGGGAUGGACUCGCGGCUUAUCAGCUUGUUGGUGGGGUAGUGGCUUACCAAGGCUUUGACGGGUAGCCGGCCUGAGAGGGUGACCGGCCACAUUGGGACUGAGAUACGGCCCAGACUCCUACGGGAGACAGCAGUGGGGAAUAUUGCACAAUGGGCGGAAGCCUGAUGCAGCAACGCCGCGUGCGGGAUGACGGCCUUCGGGUUGUAAACCGCUUUCGCCUGUGACGAAGCGUGAGUGACGGUAAUGGGUAAAGAAGCACCGGCUAACUACGUGCCAGCAGCCGCGGUGAUACGUAGGGUGCGAGCGUUGUCCGGAUUUAUUGGGCGUAAAGGGCUCGUAGGUGGUUGAUCGCGUCGGAAGUGUAAUCUUGGGGCUUAACCCUGAGCGUGCUUUCGAUACGGGUUGACUUGAGGAAGGUAGGGGAGAAUGGAAUUCCUGGUGGAGCGGUGGAAUGCGCAGAUAUCAGGAGGAACACCAGUGGCGAAGGCGGUUCUCUGGGCCUUUCCUGACGCUGAGGAGCGAAAGCGUGGGGAGCGAACAGGCUUAGAUACCCUGGUAGUCCACGCUGUAAACGGUGGGUACUAGGUGUGGGGUCCAUUCCACGGGUUCCGUGCCGUAGCUAACGCUUUAAGUACCCCGCCUGGGGAGUACGGCCGCAAGGCUAAAACUCAAAGGAAUUGACGGGGCCCCGCACAAGCGGCGGAGCAUGCGGAUUAAUUCGAUGCAACGCGUAGAACCUUACCUGGGUUUGACAUGGAUCGGGAGUGCUCAGAGAUGGGUGUGCCUCUUUUGGGGUCGGUUCACAGGUGGUGCAUGCCUGUCGUCAGCUCGUGUCGUGAGAUGUUGGGUUAAGUCCCGCAACGAGCGCAACCCUUGUUCACUGUUGCCAGCACGUUAUGGUGGGGACUCAGUGGAGACCGCCGGGGUCAACUCGGAGGAAGGUGGGGAUGACGUCAAGUCCUCAUGCCCCUUAUGUCCAGGGCUUCACGCAUGCUACAAUGGCUGGUACAGAGAGUGGCGAGCCUGUGAGGGUGAGCGAAUCUCGGAAAGCCGGUCUCAGUUCGGAUUGGGGUCUGCAACUCGACCUCAUGAAGUCGGAGUCGCUAGUAAUCGCAGAUCAGCAACGCUGCGGUGAAUACGUUCCCGGGGCCUGUACACACCGCCCGUCAAGUCAUGAAAGUUGGUAACACCCGAAGCCGGUGGCCUAACCGUUGUGGGGGAGCCGUCGAAGGUGGGACUGGUGAUUAGG